Molecule: long non-coding RNA, 306 nt
Organism: Saccostrea echinata
Lineage: Eukaryota; Metazoa; Mollusca; Bivalvia; Ostreida; Ostreidae
Exons: 3
Source: RefSeq, a predicted model, not a curated record
UAACUGUAAGACACAUUGAUGCAUCUGACAGCUUCCAAAGGCUUGGAAAGUAGGUUAAUGAUGCAGCUAUAGACAACCCCAUCUUAUGCAUGUUAUGAGAAGUUAAAAGUGUUUAACAACUACUCAAGGCUUUUUCUUUGCAAGAAGGGAUAUUGAUAGAGGGAAGGAGAUCAGAUAUGACUAUGGUGAUCCCAUGCCCAAUGGACAAUCUUCCUUGGAGUUUAUCACUCAUCAGGAAGCAUUUUGGAGGCAAACCCUGUUGCAGCAUUUCUACAUGUUCCACAGAUUGUACAGACUAGUCAGGAC